AUGAUAGGUACUGCCAUUUGCUAUUUCAGACCUGCAGACAGUGGACUACAUUUGUUGUGGAGGAACCAGAAAGACGGAUUACAUAUGAACAUAGAUAUGUAUUUUUUAGAGUAGACUUGCAUUUUUUACAUAUGGAGAAAACACUUUGUUCUAACUGCUGCUUUUUCGUCUAAGGUGGCAUUUAUAUCCUCUUGUGGACUUUCACCCUGUGACCAUCACCAUGGUAAACCACAAACCAGCCCGCGUUGUGCUCAUGUUUCUUGCAUUUUUUUUGUUUUUAGCUGCAAUGACGCUCAACUCUAUGUCAGGAUUCGGUUCUAAAUCAGGUGUUUUCCAGCACGUCACAGAAGAUGUGACAGUCAAGUAUACAACACCUUUAACUCCUGCACAGUGGGCUCUCUUUGUCUGGGAUUUCACAUAUAUUUGGUUUUUAGCCAUGUUUAUAUACUUUUUAGUGGGACUCUGUAGAAGGACUGCUUAUGACUGGCUGUAUACCAUGCCUGCAGUGCUACCUUAUGGAUUUCAUGUCUCUAUUAUCAUCAGCAUGUGCCUGAACAUUACAUGGUUGUUUUUGUUUGACAGAGAGUAAGUGUGUAAAAACAUGUUCCCAAGAAAGAAAAAGAAAAAAACAUGAUUUUUUUUCUCCCUGCUGUCGUUCAC
This is a long non-coding RNA of Lates calcarifer (barramundi perch), 660 nucleotides long. RefSeq lists it as uncharacterized. NCBI's taxonomy places the organism in Eukaryota, Metazoa, Chordata, Actinopteri, Centropomidae. The transcript is spliced from 3 exons. The record is from RefSeq and is a predicted model, not a curated record.